GUACAUACCUGGUACAUAUUUGCGAUUCUUUGAUCACAAAUAACGUUUUCCCAGGGUGAGGUGAGGUUCAGCCACUGCACCCUGAUUGACUUUUGCAAUUUCCCCAAAUGUGGGAAACUUGAUUGCAUAAUUUGUGGUAGUGUGAGCCUGCAUGCACACUUUCU
Molecule: small nuclear RNA, 164 nt
Filed under: Salvator merianae (Argentine black and white tegu)
Lineage: Eukaryota; Metazoa; Chordata; Lepidosauria; Squamata; Teiidae
Description: U1 spliceosomal RNA (ENSSMRG00000022114.1)
Rfam family: U1 spliceosomal RNA
About the family: U1 is a small nuclear RNA (snRNA) component of the spliceosome (involved in pre-mRNA splicing). Its 5' end forms complementary base pairs with the 5' splice junction, thus defining the 5' donor site of an intron. There are significant differences in sequence and secondary structure between metazoan and yeast U1 snRNAs, the latter being much longer (568 nucleotides as compared to 164 nucleotides in human).
Source: RNAcentral